Molecule: ribosomal RNA, 488 nt
Filed under: uncultured bacterium
Lineage: Bacteria
Description: bacterial SSU rRNA
Rfam family: Bacterial small subunit ribosomal RNA
Source: RNAcentral
CUACGUGCCAGCAGCCGCGGUAAUACGUAUGUCGCAAGCGUUAUCCGGAAUUAUUGGGCAUAAAGGGCAUCUAGGCGGCCAGAUAAGUCUGGGGUGAAAACUUGCGGCUCAACCGCAAGCCUGCCCUGGAAACUGUUUGGCUAGAGUGCUGGAGAGGUGGACGGAACUGCACGAGUAGAGGUGAAAUUCGUAGAUAUGUGCAGGAAUGCCGAUGAUGAAGAUAGUUCACUGGACGGUAACUGACGCUGAAGUGCGAAAGCUGGGGGAGCGAACAGGAUUAGAUACCCUGGUAGUCCCAGCCGUAAACAAUGAUUACUGGGUGUGGGCAUGAAGAGUGUCCGUGCCGAAGCUAAUGCGAUAAGUAAUCCGCCUGGGGAGUACGGCCGCAAGGCUGAAACUCAAAGGAAUUGACGGGGACCCGCACAAGCGGUGGAGCAUGUGGUUUAAUUCGACGCAACGCGAGGAACCUUACCAGAUCUUGACAUCCC